GUCCUUUUGGUUGUUUAAAAGGUCUGGCCUGCCCAGUGAUAUAGAUUUAACGGCCGCGGUAUAUUGACCGUGCAAAGGUAGCAUAAUCAUUAGUCUUUUAAUAGGGGGCUGGUAUGAAAGGUUAAACGAAACACUAACUGUCUUAUUUAGAAAUAUUAAAAUUUAGCUUUUAAGUCAAAAGGCUUAGAUUUUUUUGGAGGACGAGAAGACCCUAUAGAGCUUUACAUUAGAUUUUUUAUUGUUUUUUGGUUUAAUAUUUUAAUUUUAAUUUAUCUAUUGUUUUGUUGGGGUGACAAUAAAAUAUAAUUAACUUUUUAUCUCAUUUACAUUGGUUUAUGAUUAUCUGAUCCAUUACUAUUGAUCAUUAGAUUAAGUUACCUUAGGGAUAACAGCGUAAUCUUUCUUGGGAGUUCAAAUUUGCAGAAAGGCUUGCGACCUCGAUGUUGGAUUAAGAUAAUAAUUAGGUGCAGUAGCUUAAUAAAUAGGUCUGUUCGACCUUUAAAUUCUUACAUGAUCUGAGUUCAGACCGG
Molecule: ribosomal RNA, 530 nt
Filed under: Argia oculata
Lineage: Eukaryota; Metazoa; Arthropoda; Insecta; Odonata; Coenagrionidae
Description: partial 16S ribosomal RNA
Rfam family: Bacterial large subunit ribosomal RNA
Source: RNAcentral